RNAcentral lists this long non-coding RNA (2718 nucleotides) under Homo sapiens (human). Its description in RNAcentral is "HSALNT0073407". The record is from RNAcentral. Lineage: Eukaryota; Metazoa; Chordata; Mammalia; Primates; Hominidae.
UUUUUUGAAUACCUUUAUUAUAUAUCUUGAUCUCUCCAUGUGAGAACACAGGCUUUCCUGAUUCAUUUUCAUAGCUUGUAUCACAUUUUGUCAUGUAGAAUUACCAUGUUUUAUUCAACCAGAUCCCUAUAUCUGGACACAUAGAUUUUUCUUAUUCUUUUGCCAUUAUUAAAUGCCACAAUGGAUAAGUUUUUAUAUAUAUAUAUAUGUAUAUAUAUAUCUUUUUGUACUUGUGCAGGUAUAUCUGUAGGAUAGAUUUCUAGAAAUGGUAUUGCUGAGUAAUAGAGUAAAUAUAGCUGGGAUCUUAAAAGAUAUUAUCAGAUUUUGCUCUCUAGGUUCCAUUUUUAAUUUCCACAAGUGAAGUAUAAGAGGGCCUGUUUCCCCCAGCCUCACCCACAAAAGGUGUCUUUUUUUUGAAUUUAUGCCCAUAUAUUAGAUGGGAAAUAGUAUCUCGGUGUAGUUUUAUUGUUCAUUUCUAUUACUGUAAAUUAAGUUUAGCAGCUCUUCAUAUACUUGGACUGUAUUAUUAUUAUCAUUUUUUUCUGUGAGUAGUCUGCUCACAUCAUUGUCAAUUUUUACACUGACCUGUUUUUCUUCUCCAUUCGUAGGACCUUUUUGUGUUUUAUUGAGAAAUUAACCUUCUGUCUGUGAUACAGACAAAAAAGUGCUUUUUUCCUAGUUUGUUAUUUGCUCUUUAUUUUUCUAACAUUUUUAUCCACAUAAAAGAUAUAGAAUUUUGUGCAAAGUAAUCAAUGUUUCUUUCUUUGGCUUUAGGCUGUAGGGUUAUAUUUAGAAAGGACUUCCUUAUUUUAGGGAUAUAAAAGAAUUCAUCCACGUUUCUUCCUAGUACUUAAGUUUGGAAAAUUUAUAAUUUUGCUCAAUUUGGUGUGUAUCUUUCUCCAAAAGACCCUCAAUUUCUUUUCCAAGAAAAUUUAUUAAAAUGCCCCAUAUUACCUCUGAUUUAAUUAUUAUAUUAGGGUUCUUUAGAGGGACAGAACUAAUAGGAUAGAUGUAUAUGUGAAGGGAAGGUUAUUAAGGAGUAUUGACUCACACGAUCAAAAGGUGAAGUCCCACAAUAGGCCAUAUGCAAGCUGAGGAGCAAGGAAGCCGCUUCAAGUCCCAAAACCUAAAAAAUAGGGUAGCUGACAGUGUAGCCUUCAGUCUGUGGCUGAAGGCCUGAGAGCCCCUGACAAACCACUGGUGUAAGUCCAAGAGCUUAAAAGCUGAAGAACUUGGAGUCAGAUGUUCGAGAGCAGGAAGCAUCCAGCAUGGGAGACAGAUGAAGGCUGGAAAACUCAGCAAGCUGACACUCAAUAUUAACCACCACAAGAAGCUCCCCUCUGUGGGGAACCAUCAUAUAAAUGACCUGAUACUACACAGUUUUGCAAAGACUCCUGAUGUUAGAGGAAAAUGCUCUUUGUCGCUGUGCUAUAAGGCUGUCACUUGGAACAAAGAACCAGGUCAAAUGGACUCUUCCUCCAAUUUCAUUCUACUGAAGAUUUUGCCAUUUGAUAAUCCUUUUUCUUGUACCUUUUUUUUUUUUUUGAGACAGAGUCUCGCUCUGUUGUCCAGGCUGGAGUGAAGUGGCACACGCAUGGCUCACUGCAGCCUGCACCCCCCAGACUCAAGCGAUCCUCUCACUUUGGCCACCCUAGUAGCUUGGACUACAGUCAUGCACCACCGCUCCUGGCUAUUGCUAUUAUUAUUUUUAUUUUUUGUAGAGACACGGUUUCACUGUGUUGCCCAGGCUGGUCCUGAACUCCUGGGCUCAAGCAAUCCACCCUCAUCGGCCUCCCAAAAUUCUGGGAUUACGGGUGUGAGCCACCGUGUCUGGCCGAUACCCUUUUUCUAAGUCCCAAAAUGACAGGAAUUAUUCUUUAUUCAUUGUUAUGUCAUCAUGCCUAGUACAUAGUGCAGACUUAAUACAUAUUUUUUUUGAAUAACUACUUGCAAAAGAGAAUUGUAUUUUGGCUAUAGGUUGUAGAAGGGAAGAGUGAGAGAAGAAUGUGGUCUUUUGUUUUUCUCAUUUUGGUUAUAUAUGUAAUGUGUACAUGUCAGCUUAUCAGCUUUAGAAAACAAAAUAAAGGUUAAAUCAUAUAGACAGAUUACAUAUUAGGGCAGGUAAUUAGUGUGCAUGUCAAUGUGGUGGGCUGUGAGAUUAGACACACUUUACAAUACAAUCCCAUGGUUUAUAAAAUGGGUGUUAGAGUCAGUCAGAGACUUGAUUUAAGCUCUGCCCACUUACUGUGUGACUCUGCCACUCACUGCAUGACUUUGAGUGAGUUGCAAUCUUACAUCAUAAGAAUGUCCUGAGGAUUGACUGGAAUAAUAUAUAUAUUACAAAUCGUACUGAGAAUAAUGUCUUAUCCAUAAUAAAGUCUCAGUGGUAUUAUUAUAGUACUAGCACACUAAGAAGAAAACAAUCUGACCCAAUUGAAAAACGAAAUGGUUACUUAUUAUUCUUCAGGUUCCUAAUAUAUUGUCAGAUUUGUUUUUAAAUUUCAAGACCAAAAAACAUUCCUACCAAUCAUAUUGUGUUCUAAUAACAUAUGAAUUGAGUGUUACCACACUGUUUGGCAGUUCAUAAGAAGAGAGGAGAAUAACUGUAUUAGAACAACUAUUGCUAUUACUUAAUAUAUGUAUAUUACUUGAAAGCUGUUUAGUUUAUAUUAGAACCUAUCUAAAGUAUCCACAUACCUGGUGCAGUGUGAAUCUUUC